ACCGGCAGCUCAAGUGGUGGCCAUUAUUAUUGGGCCUAAAGCGUUCGUAGCCGGUUUUCUCCUUCUCUUCUGAAAUCCCGCAGCUUAACUGUGGGACUUGCUGGAGAUACUAUCAGACUUGAGGUCGGGAGAGGUUAGGGGUACUCCCAGGGUAGGGGUGAAAGCCUAUAAUCCUGGGAGGACCACCUGUGGCGAAGGCGCCUAACUGGAACGAACCUGACGGUGAGUAACGAAAGCCAGGGGCGCGAACCG
RNAcentral lists this ribosomal RNA (252 nucleotides) under uncultured prokaryote. RNAcentral's name for it is "partial 16S rRNA". It matches the Rfam family "Archaeal small subunit ribosomal RNA", at positions 475 to 726 of the family's 1478-position model. The record is from RNAcentral.